This 468-nucleotide ribosomal RNA is filed under the name uncultured bacterium. Its description in RNAcentral is "partial 16S ribosomal RNA". It matches the Rfam family "Bacterial small subunit ribosomal RNA", at positions 28 to 507 of the family's 1533-position model. The record is from RNAcentral.
GAUGAACGCUGGCGGCGUGCUUAACACAUGCAAGUCGAACGGAAAGGCCAGUGCUUGCACUGGUACUCGAGUGGCGAACGGGUGAGUAACACGUGGGUGAUCUGCCCUGCACUUCGGGAUAAGCCUGGGAAACUGGGUCUAAUACCGGAUAGGACAAUGGUUUGGAUGCCGUUGUGGAAAGUUUUUGCGGUGUGGGAUGAGCUCGCGGCCUAUCAGCUUGUUGGUGGGGUAAUGGCCUACCAAGGCGUCGACGGGUAGCCGGCCUGAGAGGGUGUAGGGCCAGAUUGGGACUGAGAUACGGCCCAGACUACGACGGGAGGCAGCAGGGGGGAAUAUUGGACAAUGGGCGGAAGCCUGAUGCAGCGACGCCGCGUGGGGGAUGAAGGCCUUCGGGUUGGAAACACAUUUCGCUAGGGAAGAAGCGUAUUUGUGACGGUACCUGGAGAAGAAGCACCGGCUAACUACGUG